CUCUGCCGCUGGGACACGCCGCCGCCAGGUGCGCCGGGGACUUAGGCAGUGCCGCGCCGCACGGCCCGCGCCGGUUUCCAAGGUGAAGGAGGAGGAGCCUCUGAGGGAAAGUUUCCACAGAAACUUGAGCUGGGCGCAGUGUAGCACUCGCGCCCUUGGGGGCUAGCGUUUGGCCGGAGCUACACACUCUUUACUCACGCACGCACACCGCCGUACACAGCACAAUCGUUCACCGUCCCGCCAAAGGCUCGUCUCUCGGGUUCUGCCUAGUGGAAGGAGUCGGACAACGCCGCACGUCACGGGCGUUUCGGAUUUCUUGCUUCCCAAAGGUUUGACGGCGGCCACCGGCGCCCCGGCCCAGCUCUGCUUUCCUUUGCUGACUCCUUCCUUUAGGUGUGAAUUUUAAAAUGCUGAUACCGCCCCAAGAGAGCUGAGUCAAGUGAGGCAAACGUUCGCCUGUUGUUCUCCUGACAGACUCCCUGCAGUGGGCAGGGGAAAUGUGGCCUUGGCCGACAUUAAUGAAGUGCCAGGAUGGAGGGAGGGGGCCUGCUGAUUUGUUCUGUUUUACUUUUUAAGGGUAACUAGAGCGUUACUGGAGUCGUCUGUGGGUUUGGGGAGUAUGUGGCGCGUGUGUGUGUCACACAUUUCACUGGCAACUCCCGCCAACCCCUUCCCAAGAAAUGAAGGCUCUAAUGUGGGCAGUUCUGCAACAAAGGUGAAACUUCCCCAAAUCACGAUUCCCCGCAAGAUGAGAGAGCAGGUGCAGCAUCCAUUUUCCCACUAUCACGCUUGAGAUGGUGGCUUUGGGCACUGCCGGGUGCCCCGACAUCCUUCCCAGAGCCCAGCCUUCCCACCCAGGCCCGGCCCUGCGCGGCCGCCUGCCUUUGCAUCAGAGACCGCGGCUGUGCCAUUGCCAAGGUGGGCAGCGCCGCCUCGCUUCCCCAUUCCUCCGUCUCCCACGCCUCUUGCGUGUUUGAGUCGCGAAGUGAUGGACUUUAAAUCUCAGAGGAGGAAUGAGAAACUUGGUUAGUGGCUCUCUUGGCAUGUUCGUAGCCCUGUGGUUGAAGUGGCUGAAACCUGCGUUGAGCCUCAGUCCAAGCAGCUGGGGCCACACCAGUUUGCAAAAGCGGAUGUGGCAGUUUCCACCGCAGCAGCAGCCUGCUGGCGCCUCAUCAGAUUCUCCUUUGGAGGAAGUAUCUUCUUCCCUUCAUUCUCGGUGAAUGGCAUCCAGAGAUAACCAAAAUCAGGUGUAUCUAGUUUCAAGUUCUGUCUUGCAACCGUGAUAAUUGGAGGAUGCAAACUUUACACUUUCUUCUCUAGCUGUCUACCACCACUGCUGCGCUUGUGGAUGACUGCAGGAACACCGGGUACUUGCCACAAGUAUCUCUCCAGAUUCAUCAGCCUUUCACCUGUGACAAGCUCAGUCAAGAAGUGGCUCCUAAGUAAAAGCUGGGGAAGAACAAGGAAGAUAGAGCUCAGAGUAGAAAGCUGUGAAGUUCUGCACAACAGGUCCCCUUGGCCUGCUCUAACAGUUGGAAGGUGUGAGCACAGUGAGAUUACACCUGUAAUCUUGGCACUUUGGGAGGCCAAGGUGGUUGAAUCACUUGAGCCCAGGAGUUUAAGACCAGCCUAGACAACAUGGCAAACCCCAUUUCUACCAAAAAAAAAAACAAAAAUUUUCUGGGCAUGGUGGCGUAACCUGUAGUCCUAGCUACUUAGGAGGCUGAGGUGGGAGGAUUGCUUGAGCCCAGGAAAUUGAGGCUGCACACUGUGACUGUGCCACUGCACCCCAGCCUGGGUCACAGAGCAAGAUACUGUCUCUUUAAAAAAAAAAAAAAUUAGCUUUUCAGGCAUGCAAAGUUCAACAUAUAGAACAAUAGAAGAUGAAAUGUAUUAAUCUUGUACAUUUUGUGUCUUAUUUUGUAUCUGCCUUAUCAAAAAAUUUUAAAGGUGUCGUGUUAGAUAUUACCAUGUAUUAUUGUUGAUUUAAAAAAAUUUUCUCCAGUAGUCUACUGGUCCUGCUCCCUGUACUUUGAAUGUAUAUUUGAUAUAAUUUGGAUGUUUGUCCCUUCCACAUCUCAUGUUGAAAUGUAAUCCCCGAUGUUGGAGGUAGAACCUGGUGGGAGGUGUUUGGGUUAUGGGGGUGAAUCCCUCAUUAAUGGUUUGGUUCUGUCCUCGCAGUAAUGAAUGAGUUCUCACUCUGUAAGUUCACAUGAGAUCUGAUUGUUUAAAAGAGCCUGGCACUUCCUCCCUCUCUUACUUGCUCCUUCUCUCACCGUGCAACACACUGGUUCCCCUUCACCUUCUGCCAUGAUUGUAAGCUUCCUGAGGCCCUCACCAAAAGCAAAUGCUAGCACUAUGCUUUAUGUACAACCUAAAGAACCACAAGCUAGUUAAACCUCUUCUCUUUAUAAAUUACCCAGCCUCAGGUAUUUCUUUAUAGCAACACAACUGGACUAAUACAAUGUUGUUUAGUGCAUAUUUCUUCCAUCAUUAGUGGCACAUAUGUUUAUAAUAUAUUUUCUUGAUCUAUUUUUUUUUACCAAUAUGCAGUAACCCACUUUAUUCCUUGUAUUACUGCUCUCCAUGAAAACAGAACCAAUUGGAUGUGCAUAUACAUAGAAAGAGAUGUAUUAUAAGGAAUUGGCUCAUGCAAUUAUGGAGACCGUCAAGUCCAAAUCUACUGUAUAGGCCAGAAGUCUAUAGCUAGGGGAUCAGAUAAAGUCCAGCAGGCAGAGAAUUUCCUCUCGCUUG
RNAcentral lists this long non-coding RNA (2754 nucleotides) under Homo sapiens (human). RNAcentral's name for it is "non-protein coding FAM160A1-DT:16". The record is from RNAcentral. Lineage: Eukaryota; Metazoa; Chordata; Mammalia; Primates; Hominidae.